Molecule: non-coding RNA, 111 nt
Filed under: human gut metagenome
Description: THF riboswitch
Rfam family: THF (Tetrahydrofolate) riboswitch aptamer
About the family: THF riboswitch presents a pseudoknot that joins P1-P2 and the loop of P3 and two THF binding.
Source: RNAcentral
CAGAGUAGGAAGUACGCGUAAGACCUUCGGGUCGCAGUGCCGACGGGACGGGGAGUUGUCUGUCGGACGAAGAGCGCUUCGGCGCCACGGUGUGCUUUCCGCAUCCCGCUG